This 613-nucleotide long non-coding RNA is filed under the name Lupinus angustifolius (narrow-leaved blue lupine). RNAcentral describes it as "long non-coding RNA (LANG_LNC003310)". The record is from RNAcentral. Lineage: Eukaryota; Viridiplantae; Streptophyta; Magnoliopsida; Fabales; Fabaceae.
CAUCCUUAUUUUAUAUUAUUACGAGAAUCAUUAAAUUCAAGAUCCUAAGAUGGUAUUUCACCGAUCAUAAGGAAUUUCUUACAAUAUGCCCUUUCCCUUAAUCACAAUUACAAACACAUAUUCCUAUUUUAAGACAAAUGCAAACUCCCUUUCCUCCUUUGGACUUGCAAGGUCCUACACAGUCUUUGUCAAUUUUGCAUUGGGAUUCUUGAGCUUGUACAGUCAAACCUGAAAGUUAAACAUAUUCUUUAAGGAAAAUAUAGUUUUCAAAAUUCAAUCUAACUAUCAUCAUUGAGCAUAAGUUUCACAAAUCUAUUUGACUCAACAAAUGAAAACAAUAACUUAUAAUAUAUAAACUAAUAAUUUUAAGAAUAUACUUGUUCUCUUUAUUGUCUGCAUUAUUCAUGAUUACAAUGUAUGCUUUUUGUGGUAUGAAUAAAUCAUUGCAUUGUAACGAAGGAAGAUAAUAGAAGAAGAAGGGAGGAGGGUUACCAUAUGCAAUCAAAAACAAGAAUACAAAGAGAGCCACUUGAAAUGAUGAUUUCUUCAUACUUUUCCACUCUUGAAUUAUGAUAAUAUGGUUGCAAAUAGUUUUUCUUUUCUACGAGUGAUU